AUCAUUCCCAAUUAUUUGGUGAUUUUUAUUUUUUGUGGUUUCAUUUACUUUAUUUGACUCUCAUCUCUUACUGCAAUAUUUAAAACUCAACAAUGAAAAAUACUCCAACAACAAAUACUCCGAGAUACAAAUGUGGAGAACAUGGGUUAACACUACAUGGAAAACAAUAUUUUGCCAAUUUAUAAUAUAGUUUUCCCGUUUAAAGAAGGUUAUCGAAAAGGUUUUCAUGUACUAGAUACAUAUCAGAUUCAUGAAUCUACCUAAACAAUUACAAAACAUAUCCAAACUAUAUAUGAACAUUCAUAGUUAAUAAAUGUGAUACACAAGGUAACUCUAACAUUUAUGAAACGUAAUACAGUAGAGUAGAGUAGAGAAAUUAAAAAAUAACUUAAAAAAAAAAACAACAACUUACGUGUCUACCCCUUUUUAGCGUAGGCAUUCAAUAACCCGAUGUUGCGCUCCAUAGAGGCGUCCAGCUCGGUGAUGUCUGUAAGCAGAAAGACUGACAACCCUAACAUGGCUGACCCUGCAGAAAUCCUCUCAACAAGCUCGACAAAUUUCCUCAAUCCUCACAAAUAGAUGACAAGAGGUAGCUCGGUGUGGGAUCAGCCAAUGUAAAAAGGGUGAGAAUAAUGGGCAGGUAAAUUUGGGUCAUAGCCACUACAUCACGCAUCCUAGACAAACGAUGAGGAUGCAUGUUGUAUAGCAAAACCAAUCGCUUGACAAAUUUUUUAUUUUUUAUUUUUUUGUAAAUAAAUAACUUAUGUGUCUCCCCCUUUUAAGGCGUACGCCUUCAAUAACCCGAUGUUGCGCUCCAUAGAGGCGUCCAGCUCAGUGAUGUCUGUAAGCAGAAAGAAUGGUAACCCUAACAUGGCUGACCCUGCAGAAAUCCUCUCAGCAAGCUCAACAGAUUUCCUCAAAUCCUCAAAAAUAGAUGAAAAGAGGUAGCUCGGUGUGGAAUCAGCCAAUGUAAAAAGGGUGAGAAUAACGGGCAGGUAAAUCUGGGUCAUAGCCACUACAUCACGCAUCCUAGACAAACGAUGAGGAUGCGUGUUGUAGAGCAAAACCAAUCGCUUGAAACGGGUUUGGGUUUUCAAGAAAACAUGUAAUUAGGUAGGUGUAUAUUAAUGUAGGCUUGAUAAAUAAGAGUAAUGGUAGGUGUAUCACAUUUUGAGAGACCAUCUAGAACCCACCUUAUGUGGCAUCUGAUGUGCUAUAGUCAUGUCAUCAGAAUAUAAUUAUGAUUUUAUAUUUUUUUUAUCUUUUCCUUACUACGAAAAUUCUUUUUUACUUUUUACUUUUUUAUUUAUAUUAUCUUUCAAACCCUGUAUUCUUUCCCUUUGUGUUCUAGUUCUAAUCUUCUUUGAUUCGACGUCUUCAACAACCGUCGUCGUUCUCACCUCCUCCUAUUCAUCGUUGAGUUGAAACUUAGUGAUCGAGCACAUCAGCAUUCAUGUUCUGGUAAUUGAGUUGAAAUAGAUGUUCUUCUCUAUAGGGUUUAUACAGUAGAUUAGUAAU
Molecule: long non-coding RNA, 1518 nt
Filed under: Fragaria vesca (wild strawberry)
Lineage: Eukaryota; Viridiplantae; Streptophyta; Magnoliopsida; Rosales; Rosaceae
Description: long non-coding RNA (FVES_LNC003796)
Source: RNAcentral